This is a non-coding RNA of Rattus norvegicus (Norway rat), 69 nucleotides long. Lineage: Eukaryota; Metazoa; Chordata; Mammalia; Rodentia; Muridae. The record is from Rfam.
GGGGAUUUAGCUCAGUGGUAGAGCGCUUGCCUAGUAAACGCAAGGCCCUGGGUUCGGUCCCCAGCUCCA